This 27-nucleotide transfer RNA is filed under the name Impatiens cuspidata. Its description in RNAcentral is "partial tRNA-Leu". RNAcentral also lists the same sequence under 1 other name. Lineage: Eukaryota; Viridiplantae; Streptophyta; Magnoliopsida; Ericales; Balsaminaceae. The record is from RNAcentral.
AAUCCGUCGACUUUAUAAAUCGUGAGA